UACGUAGGGUGCAAGCGUUGUCCGGAAUUACUGGGCGUAAAGAGCUCGUAGGUGGUUUGUCGCGUUGUCCGUGAAAACUCACAACUCAAUUGUGGGCGUGCGGGCGAUACGGGCAGACUGGAGUACUGCAGGGGAGACUGGAAUUCCUGGUGUAGCGGUGGAAUGCGCAGAUAUCAGGAGGAACACCAAUAGCGAAGGCAGCUCGCUGGGACGGUACUGACGCUGAGGCGCGAAAGCGUGGGGAGCGAACAGG
This 253-nucleotide ribosomal RNA is filed under the name uncultured bacterium. RNAcentral's name for it is "partial 16S ribosomal RNA". It matches the Rfam family "Bacterial small subunit ribosomal RNA", at positions 524 to 776 of the family's 1533-position model. The record is from RNAcentral.